Molecule: transfer RNA, 76 nt
Filed under: Gammaproteobacteria bacterium
Lineage: Bacteria; Pseudomonadati; Pseudomonadota; Gammaproteobacteria
Also listed under: 3 other names
Description: tRNA-Lys
Rfam family: tRNA
About the family: Transfer RNA (tRNA) molecules are approximately 80 nucleotides in length. Their secondary structure includes four short double-helical elements and three loops (D, anti-codon, and T loops).
Source: RNAcentral
GGGGGUAUAGCUCAGUUGGUAGAGCAUCGGCCUUUUAAGCCGCUGGUCCCAGGUUCGAGUCCUGGUGCCCCCACCA